CUCCUUCGGGAGGGGAUUAGUGGCGAACGGGUGAGUAACACGUGGGCAAUCUGCCCUGCACUCUGGGACAAGCCCUGGAAACGGGGUCUAAUACCGGAUACUGAUCAUCUUGGGCAUCCUUGGUGAUCGAAAGCUCCGGCGGUGCAGGAUGAGCCCGCGGCCUAUCAGCUUGUUGGUGAGGUAAUGGCUCACCAAGGCGACGACGGGUAGCCGGCCUGAGAGGGCGACCGGCCACACUGGGACUGAGACACGGCCCAGACUCCUACGGGAGGCAGCAGUGGGGAAUAUUGCACAAUGGGCGAAAGCCUGAUGCAGCGACGCCGCGUGAGGGAUGACGGCCUUCGGGUUGUAAACCUCUUUCAGCAGGGAAGAAGCGAAAGUGACGGUACCUGCAGAAGAAGCGCCGGCUAACUACGUGCCAGCAGCCGCGGUAAUACGUAGGGCGCGAGCGUUGUCCGGAAUUAUUGGGCGUAAAGAGCUCGUAGGCGGCUUGUCGCGUCGGUUGUGAAAGCCCGGGGCUUAACCCCGGGUCUGCAGUCGAUACGGGCAGGCUAGAGUUCGGUAGGGGAGAUCGGAAUUCCUGGUGUAGCGGUGAAAUGCGCAGAUAUCAGGAGGAACACCGGUGGCGAAGGCGGAUCUCUGGGCCGAUACUGACGCUGAGGAGCG
This 666-nucleotide ribosomal RNA is filed under the name Streptomyces sp. RNAcentral's name for it is "bacterial SSU rRNA". It matches the Rfam family "Bacterial small subunit ribosomal RNA", at positions 75 to 755 of the family's 1533-position model. The record is from RNAcentral. Lineage: Bacteria; Bacillati; Actinomycetota; Actinomycetes; Kitasatosporales; Streptomycetaceae.